This 460-nucleotide ribosomal RNA is filed under the name uncultured bacterium. RNAcentral's name for it is "partial 16S ribosomal RNA". It matches the Rfam family "Bacterial small subunit ribosomal RNA", at positions 338 to 795 of the family's 1533-position model. The record is from RNAcentral.
CCUACGGGAGGCAGCAGUGAGGAAUAUUGGUCAAUGGACGAGAGUCUGAACCAGCCAAGUAGCGUGAAGGAUGACUGCCCUAUGGGUUGUAAACUUCUUUUAUAAAGGAAUAAAACGAGGCACGUGUGCCUUUUUGCAUGUACUUUAUGAAUAAGGAUCGGCUAACACCGUGCCAGCAGCCUCGGUAAUACGGAGGUGGCAAGCGUUAUCCGGAAUGACUGGGCGUAAAGGGUGGGUAGGUGGUUUAGUAAGUUGGUUGUGUAAUUCCGGGGAUCAACCUGGGCGCUACCGCCAAACCGAUUAGACUAGAGUGCAGGAGGGGUAAGUGGAAUUCCUAGUGUAGCGGUGGGAUGCGUAGAUAUUAGGAGGAGCAUCAGGGGCGAAGGCGACUUACUGGACUGUAACUGACACUGAGGCACGAAAGCGUGGGGAGCAAACAGGAUUAGAUACCCGGGUAGUC